This 82-nucleotide transfer RNA is filed under the name Myxococcota bacterium. Its description in RNAcentral is "tRNA-OTHER". The record is from RNAcentral. Lineage: Bacteria; Pseudomonadati; Myxococcota.
CGUCACGAGGCGAAACACCCUGAAACGCACCUGUCGCAACUUGACACGGUAGGGGUCGCUGGUUCGAACCCAGUCGUGCCUA